CAUACAUGCAAGUCGAACGCGAAAUUUCCCUUCGGGGAGAAAGUAGAGUGGCGCACGGGUGAGUAACACGUAGGUAAUCUACCUUUGGAUGGGGAAUAACGCAGAGAAAUCUGCGCUAAUACCGCAUAAUGCAGCGGCACCUAAUGGUGACAGUUGUUAAAGCGGGGGAUCGUAAGACCUCGCGUCUAAAGAGGAGCCUGCGGCGGAUUAGCUAGUUGGUAAGGUAAUGGCUUACCAAGGCUACGAUCCGUAACCGGCCUGAGAGGGCGGUCGGUCACACUGACACUGACAUACGGGUCAGACUCCUACGGGAGGCAGCAGUCGGGAAUUUUGGGCAAUGGGCGAAAGCCUGACCCAGCAACGCCGCCGUGAAGGAUGAAAUCCCUCGGGAUGUAAACUUCGCAAGAACGGGAAGAAUAAGUAGGGGACAAUACCCCCUAUGAUGACGGUACCGUUUGUAAGCUCCGGCUAACUCCGUGCCAGCAGCCGCGGUAAUACGGGGGGAGCAAGCGUUGUUCGGAUUUACUGGGCGUAAA
This 536-nucleotide ribosomal RNA is filed under the name uncultured bacterium. Its description in RNAcentral is "bacterial SSU rRNA". It matches the Rfam family "Bacterial small subunit ribosomal RNA", at positions 50 to 564 of the family's 1533-position model. The record is from RNAcentral.